AUUCCCAUCCUUCACAUUUUUUCUUCAGCAUUCUAGCUCCCUAAACGCUAGUGGUUGCCGUCCAAGCCUUCUUAACCUAGUAUAUAUGCUAUUUAUUUUAUUUUUGUUCAGUUUGUAUUGAUAAUUUUUCGUCUUUUGUUGUCCCUCUCUUUUCUCCCUACUCUUUCCUUCCUUCUUGUGCCGUCCAAUGUUAUUGUGAUCACCAUAGUUGUGUCAUCUCUCUUCGUCAAUUGUUGUGGCUGUCGUUUUCACUAUUGCUUUCUCCUUCUUUGUUCGUUUUGUUGCUUCCAUUUUCAGCACCUUUGCUGUCCAUUUUAGUCACCAUAGCUGCACCUCAUUGAGCCAAGAAUUAAUCUCUCUUUUACUCUCCAAUGCCGCCCCUGUGUUUCCCUCUUUUCCUCUUGUUUUCCCUUAGUGUUUGCUGCCAUUUUUAAUCGCUUAAACCGUCCCCUUGCUGCCACUUUCCAGCCCAUUUUUUGCCAUUUUUUCUGCGCCAAAAUUGUCCCUUUUUUCUGUCCAUAUUAACCCUUUUGCUGCCGUUUAAUCUUCCUUUUGUGCCACACAUCACAGCCCUCAUUUUUGUUGUCAUUUAUUGCAUUGUCGCCCCUUAAACACCCUUUUUGUUGCUGUUUUUUUUCUUCUUAUUAUCGCACCUAUAGGCUGAUUUUAUUCCCUCAUUUUCAUUGAUUAAAUCAGCCCCUAAUCUUAAUCGUUUAGUGUGCAUUUGGGAUUAAGAGAUCUAUCAUCUCGGAUCUAGGAGACAAGAAGUUUGAUAUCUCGGGGGAAGUGCCUGCUUCCUCAAUCCCCUGUAUAAGCUCACAACAUGAGAACAUACUCGGUUGUGGUAAGUGAAAAUUUCCAACCUUGUAGCCUCGAAAAACAUGGACAAGGGCAAGGCCCCUGUUAUUGAAUAGGCGAGCAGAUAUGGAAAGAUUCUUGAGGAUAAUUCAGAUGACUUGUUUGAUGAGUCUAAAACCAUCACAGAUUCUAGCUUUGGAGAAGACAUUUCCUUGAAGAGCAUGAUGAAAGCUAAUACCAAGUGUCCUAAUAUACCACUUUCUACAAGCUAGAGAAACAAGAAGUUAAAGGAAGCUAGGGUUCCAAAAUUUCUUGCUAAAGCUAUUGAGGCUGGUAGGACCGGGAAGAAAGGAUAUUGGAGAUGAGGUACAAGGUAUUUCUGGGUGUUGCAUGUUUGAAGAGGUAUGACUCUUAUCAAAAAUAAUUUUAAAGAACAGAACGUAGAGGAAAAUAGUUUUGUCGAUCAUGGUAUAUAUGUAAUUCUUGAAAAUUAUGCCUUAGAGACACUGUAAGCUUUGUAAAGCACUACGUUCGCAAUGUGGUUACGAAUUUUUAUGCUAAUUUGCUUGGUAGUAUUUUUGAUAAGAACAGGAAGUUGUUUCAUAAGGUAUUAGGGCGUGGAGAAUGGUAUAAUUUUGGUAUUGUAGAGAUCAGGAAGGUCGUGAAUUAUUUUUUUUCCAAUAUGGUGGACCUCGAUGAAUGUAUUGACUGGACUACAACCAACAUUACAAACAA
Gossypium arboreum is the source of this 1533-nucleotide long non-coding RNA. RefSeq lists it as uncharacterized. Lineage: Eukaryota; Viridiplantae; Streptophyta; Magnoliopsida; Malvales; Malvaceae. The transcript is spliced from 2 exons. The record is from RefSeq and is a predicted model, not a curated record.